Molecule: ribosomal RNA, 498 nt
Filed under: uncultured bacterium
Lineage: Bacteria
Description: partial 16S ribosomal RNA
Rfam family: Bacterial small subunit ribosomal RNA
Source: RNAcentral
AGCGAACGCUGGCGGCGUGCCUAACACAUGCAAGUCGAACGUGAAAAGGGAAACCUGAGUAUAGUGGCGUACGGGUGAGUAACGCGUAGGUAAUCUACCCCAGAAUCUGGAAUAACCUGCCGAAAGGCGGGCUAAUACUGGAUAGAGCGAGGGAACUCGUAAGAGAGUUUUUCGGGAAAGGGAGCCCGCAAGGGCCUUCGUUCUGGGAUGAGCCUGCGUCUCAUUAGCUAGUUGGUAAGGUAACGGCUUACCAAGGCGAUGAUGAGUAGCUGGUCUGAGAGGAUGAUCAGCCACACUGGAACUGAAACACGGUCCAGACUCCUACGGGAGGCAGCAGUGGGGAAUCUUGCGCAAUGGACGAAAGUCUGACGCAGCCACGCCGCGUGAGUGAAGAAGGCCUUCGGGUUGUAAAGCUCUGUCGGAUGGGACGAACAUCUUCAUAGUGAAUAGCUAUGAGGACUGACGGUACCAUCAAAGGAAGCACCGGCUAACUCCGUG